Octopus sinensis (East Asian common octopus) is the source of this 98-nucleotide long non-coding RNA. RefSeq lists it as uncharacterized. NCBI's taxonomy places the organism in Eukaryota, Metazoa, Mollusca, Cephalopoda, Octopoda, Octopodidae. The transcript is spliced from 3 exons. The record is from RefSeq and is a predicted model, not a curated record.
AUAAAACAUGGGCUAACUAAAUGUCUGAAAACAAGUGCUGAUGUUUAGGACAAAAUUAUGAAAAUGCUUUGGAUAGGCAAACGUUUUAAAUAGCUUAA